This 253-nucleotide ribosomal RNA is filed under the name uncultured bacterium. RNAcentral describes it as "partial 16S ribosomal RNA". It matches the Rfam family "Bacterial small subunit ribosomal RNA", at positions 524 to 776 of the family's 1533-position model. The record is from RNAcentral.
UACGGAGGAUCCAAGCGUUAUCCGGAUUUAUUGGGUUUAAAGGGUGCGUAGGCGGCUUAUUAAGUCGGGGGUGAAAGACGGUGGCUCAACCAUCGCAGUGCCCUUGAUACUGAUGAGCUUGAAUACACUUGAGGUAGGCGGAAUGUGACAAGUAGCGGUGAAAUGCAUAGAUAUGUCACAGAACACCAAUUGCGAAGGCAGCUUACUAAGGUGCAAUUGACGCUGAGGCACGAAAGCGUGGGGAUCAAACAGG